GACGAACGCUGGCGGCGUGCUUAACACAUGCAAGUCGAACGGAAAGGCCCCUUCGGGGGUACUCGAGUGGCGAACAGGUGAGUAACACGUGAGUAACCUGCCCUUGACUUCGGGAUAACUUCAGGAAACUGGGGCUAAUACCGGAUAGGAAUCCUUGCUGCAUGGUGGGGGUUGGAAAGCUUCGGCGGUUUUGGAUGGACUCGCGGCUUAUCAGCUUGUUGGUGGGGUAGUGGCUUACCAAGGCUUUGACGGGUAGCCGGCCUGAGAGGGCGACCGGCCACAUUGGGACUGAGAUACGGCCCAGACUCCUACGGGAGGCAGCAGUGGGGAAUAUUGCACAAUGGGCGGAAGCCUGAUGCAGCAACGCCGCGUGCGGGAUGACGGCCUUCGGGUUGUAAACCGCUUUCAGCAGGGGCGAAGCUUGUGGUGACGGUACCUGCAGAAGAAGCACCGGCUAACUACG
This 463-nucleotide ribosomal RNA is filed under the name uncultured bacterium. RNAcentral describes it as "partial 16S ribosomal RNA". It matches the Rfam family "Bacterial small subunit ribosomal RNA", at positions 28 to 505 of the family's 1533-position model. The record is from RNAcentral.